Molecule: RNA transcript, 823 nt
Organism: Arachis ipaensis
Lineage: Eukaryota; Viridiplantae; Streptophyta; Magnoliopsida; Fabales; Fabaceae
Gene name: Putative membrane lipoprotein
Source: RefSeq, a predicted model, not a curated record
AAAAAUAUGAAAAUGUUGAGCGUGUUAACAAAAAACUAAAAUUAAAAAUUGUUAUCUUCACCAAAAACACCAAAAAACCUGCCAUUUCAAGACCAAACACAAGAAAAAGGAAGAAAGUUCCCAAAAGAUGAGGGAAAAAAUUGGUAGUGAGCGAGGGGAAAAGCUGGAGGUUAGAAAAAAUUGGUUUUGAUUGGAGAGAGAUGGAGAAGAAGCUUACUCUGCUUCAGACUGUUGCCACUGCUGGCGUCUUCUCUGCCAUUUCCUUCUGGUAUGGGUUCAUGUUUGGGAGGGAGUCCUCUCGUAAAGAGCUCUCACAGUUAAUCGAAGAUCUCCGAAACGGAAACCCCUCUUCCUCUUGCUCCGUUUCCAGUUCCCAAUCUUGAAAUGAAAUGGUUUCUCUCGUUUCCUUCACGCCAUCGUCACCAUGUGUUUGUACUUUGCUGUGUUACUUACCACGAUAACACUGCCCAAGUAAUUUCUGAAUCUGUCAUGGAAGCUCUUCAUGUAGUCAGAGUAAACUUGGAGGGGAGUCCUUCCUUUCAGCACAGGCAUGGAAUCACACCCUAAAGAGAUGUACUCAGGAUUCCUCCUCCCUGAUCUGUCUGUAUAAACCAGGUCAGGGUUCUUGCUGAUCUCUUCCAACACCCAUGGUGGUAGAGGAAUGCUGAAAAAUUGCAAUAAAAGAAUAAUUGUAAAUAAGUUUAUGUCGUGGUCAUUUAGAACUACCGAAAUUGUUAAUAUCAUCUAUCAUUUUAAGAAGAUGACGGUUAUGCCUAACACUACGAGUAUCAUUUAGUAAUAAAAAAAAAGGAUAUGGCUAAAA